RNAcentral lists this ribosomal RNA (453 nucleotides) under Neisseria flavescens. RNAcentral describes it as "bacterial SSU rRNA". It matches the Rfam family "Bacterial small subunit ribosomal RNA", at positions 30 to 483 of the family's 1533-position model. Lineage: Bacteria; Pseudomonadati; Pseudomonadota; Betaproteobacteria; Neisseriales; Neisseriaceae. The record is from RNAcentral.
AUUGAACGCUGGCGGCAUGCUUUACACAUGCAAGUCGGACGGCAGCACAGAGGAGCUUGCUUCUUGGGUGGCGAGUGGCGAACGGGUGAGUAAUAUAUCGGAACGUACCGAGUAAUGGGGGAUAACUAAUCGAAAGAUUAGCUAAUACCGCAUAUUCUCUGAGGAGGAAAGCAGGGGACCUUCGGGCCUUGCGUUAUUCGAGCGGCCGAUAUCUGAUUAGCUAGUUGGUGGGGUAAAGGCCUACCAAGGCGACGAUCAGUAGCGGGUCUGAGAGGAUGAUCCGCCACACUGGGACUGAGACACGGCCCAGACUCCUACGGGAGGCAGCAGUGGGGAAUUUUGGACAAUGGGCGCAAGCCUGAUCCAGCCAUGCCGCGUGUCUGAAGAAGGCCUUCGGGUUGUAAAGGACUUUUGUCAGGGAAGAAAAGGCUGUUGCUAAUACCGACAGCUGAU